Molecule: ribosomal RNA, 503 nt
Filed under: uncultured bacterium
Lineage: Bacteria
Description: partial 16S ribosomal RNA
Rfam family: Bacterial small subunit ribosomal RNA
Source: RNAcentral
ACUCAAAUGAAUUGACGGGGGCCCGCACAAGCGGUGGAGCAUGUGGCUUAAUUCGUCACUAACCGAAGAACCUUACCAGGGUUUGACAUCCACUGUAAGUCCAUGAAAGUGGCACCCUCUGUAGCAAUACAGACAGUGAGACAGGUGUUGCAUGGCUGUCGUCAGCUCGUGUCGUGAGAUGUUGGGUUAAGUCCCGCAACGAGCGCAACCCUCACACGAUGUUGCCAGCGUAAAGUCGGGAACUCUUCGUGAACUGCCCGUGUAAGCGGGAGGAAGGUGGGGAUGACGUCAAGUCGGCAUGGCCCUUACACCCUGGGCUGCACACAUGCUACAAUGGCCGUUAACAAAGGGAAGCAAAGUCGCGAGGCGGAGCAAAUCUCAAAAAUACGGUCUCAGUUCGGAUUGCAGUCUGCAACUCGACUGCAUGAAGUCGGAAUCGCUAGUAACCGCAGGUCAGCUAAACUGCGGUGAAUACGUUCCCGGGCCUUGUACACACCGCCCGU